UUUAUUGUUUUCCUUACACACGUGUAACUGUCAUUGGCUUCUUCACGUCGCCUCUUUCCACGUUACCUUUCAUCUUUACCAAAUCGAUUAAACGUCUCCAUUCUUCUUGAACCCUAAAUCGAUAAUCAGAAAUCGAUCGCAUGACAACAACUGCGCUCAAACCUGGCACCCAUCUCCUCCUUCGCAAGCCCUAAGUUCUCCUUCUAUUUGACCACCAGAUCUCCUCAGCGUGUCAUCCUUAAACUCGGGUUUGCCGAGCCUCGAUUUUGCCUUCAUACAAUGGGCAGGUUGUUUAGGCCUGGAAUUGGAACCGGAAUCGUUUGGUCAUUUUAUUUAUCAACAUUUUUGGUGUUAUCACGCAACUUAUUUUGAUGUGAAACCUUCCAAAAUAAAACUAUGUUAUUAUAGUUUAUUACAUCAAAAAGAAAAAUAAUACAUAGAAACUGUUUUUCCUCAUUUUAAUCUACAUAAAAAAUUCUUUUGAUCACCAUGUGUUAUGGACUUGAAAGGUUAUACUCACCACUACGUAAACAAAAGGCGUUAUAGGAGAAACACUGUUAACGAAAUAUAAUUGUCAUGUGGAGAUUAAAAUGAGGGGUAGAAAUUUGUAGGUAUUUAACUAAAAUUAAAGUGAUUGAGUUUUGAUGUAAUUUCAUGAAAGGUUUAAAGAGAUUUCACAUCCAGGUGAGGGAGUAUGAUAGCUCUUUAGGAAGCGCUAAUACAUUAUCAUACUAUUUCUUUUAAAAGAAGCUAUUUUUGCUACUAAUGUAACUUUUCCUUUUGAAUACUAUAGAAGUUGGAUUGUUGAUGGUAGAGCUAUUGCAUGAAAGGUUGAAACCUGUUGUCUGCCUUUGGUAAAUAAAGUCAAAGACUGGAGCAAUUCAGGAUUGACCAUGAUGCCAUUUCAGGAUUGAUAGUAGUGAUGUAUCAGUAGAGUAGUGGUCUGGGCUUCCCAUUGGUGUGAAAUUUGAACCCACUGAUCUGAUCUUGAGCUCUUAGAACAUUCGGCAGCCAAAUGUGGUGUGGGGAAUCAAAAACCACACCAAUUAAUUGAUGAGUUCAUCCCUACACUUGAUGUAGAUGAAGGAAUAUGUUCCAAACAUCCUCCUGAAAAUCUUCCUGGGUAGUCACGUUGAGAAAAUAUUAUAUGGACUCAGCUAUAUAGGAGCAACUAACUAAUGCAUCAUUGUUGGGAGUGAGAUGGACAAACUUGCAAUUGAAGAACCAGGUUUAAAGAACCGUGGUGUUCCUCAAAAAGUUUCUUACAAGGAUUUACCAUCUCAAAAACAGGUUUUAGUUUAAGUUCAAAUUAGAUCAUUUUAUAUUAAUAUGUUAGAUAGUAACAUAAAGUUUUGGUAAAUAUUAGGAUUAUGGAUUUGAGAGUUAUACAGUUUAAUAAAUACAUAUCGGGUAUUAAUGUGUUUACUUAAUAUCUUGAUUUGCCA
Long non-coding RNA from Helianthus annuus (common sunflower), 1445 nucleotides. RefSeq lists it as uncharacterized. The record is from RefSeq and is a predicted model, not a curated record. NCBI's taxonomy places the organism in Eukaryota, Viridiplantae, Streptophyta, Magnoliopsida, Asterales, Asteraceae. The transcript is spliced from 5 exons.